UACGGAGGAUGCGAGCGUUAUCCGGAUUUAUUGGGUUUAAAGGGUGCGCAGGCGGGAGAUUAAGUCGGCGGUGAAAUUUUGCAGCUCAACUGUAAAAGUGCCUUCGAAACUGGUUUCCUUGAGUGUAGAUGAAGUAGGCGGAAUUUGUGGUGUAGCGGUGAAAUGCAUAGAUAUCACGAGGAACUCCGAUUGCGCAGGCAACUUACUAAACUACUACUGACGCUCAGGCACGAAGGCGUGGGGAUCAAACAGGAUUAGAUACCCGGUAGU
This 270-nucleotide ribosomal RNA is filed under the name uncultured prokaryote. Its description in RNAcentral is "partial 16S ribosomal RNA". It matches the Rfam family "Bacterial small subunit ribosomal RNA", at positions 524 to 794 of the family's 1533-position model. The record is from RNAcentral.